RNAcentral lists this ribosomal RNA (462 nucleotides) under uncultured bacterium. RNAcentral describes it as "partial 16S ribosomal RNA". It matches the Rfam family "Bacterial small subunit ribosomal RNA", at positions 29 to 507 of the family's 1533-position model. The record is from RNAcentral.
AGUGAACGCUGGCGGCGUGCCUAAUACAUGCAAGUCGAACGAACGAAUAAGAGCUUGCUCUUAUAAGUUAGUGGCGCACGGGUGAGUAAUAUAUAGCUAAUCUGCCUCUUAGUAGAGGAUAACAGUCGGAAACGAUUGCUAAUACUCUAUACUUCUGCUUUACAUAAGUAAAGUAGAGAAAGUUUUUCGCUAUGAGAUGAGGCUAUACUGUAUCAGCUAGUUGGUAAGGUAACGGCUUACCAAGGCUAUGACGCAUAACUGGUCUGAGAGGAUGAUCAGUCACAUUGGAACUGAGACACGGUCCAAACUCCUACGGGAGGCAGCAGUAGGGAAUAUUGCGCAAUGGGGGAAACCCUGACGCAGCAACGCCGCGUGGAGGAUGACACUUUUCGGAGCGUAAACUCCUUUUAUCGGGAAAGAAUAAUGACGGUACCCGAUGAAUAAGCACCGGCUAACUCCGUG